RNAcentral lists this long non-coding RNA (469 nucleotides) under Homo sapiens (human). Its description in RNAcentral is "non-protein coding DSG1-AS1:6". The record is from RNAcentral. Lineage: Eukaryota; Metazoa; Chordata; Mammalia; Primates; Hominidae.
ACGCAGAAGACGGGUGAUUUCUGCAUUUCCAUCUGAGAUGGAGUGAAUAUGAUGAUUCUGUGAAGGUUUAUUGCAACAUGACUUUUUCAGCACAGCAACAGGAAAAUUUGACUCUGGGUCUGUUCUACAAAAUUAAAGCUUUCUCAGCACAAAAAACAGCAUAGACUGUGAGUGAUGGCGGCCAUCUUGGUUCAUGUGUAAAGACUGAAUUUCAGUGACUACCAACGGCUAUUUCUUAGAAUGUGGCACUUACCCUGGGUUCAGGCUGUGGUCCUUCUACUGCCCAUGAAUGAAUUGCUCCAUCUGAACAUUCGGGAACAGGCUCAAAGCCAGCUGCACUACGAGGAGCACCUCCACAAUCACAACAGAUCAUCAAAAAUGGGACCACUGGUGGUGGAGGGAUAGUAAUACUAGAGUUAGCACUGGGUGCAAAUAAAAAACAAAACAACCUGAUUUUUUAUGGUUAAAU